Molecule: ribosomal RNA, 469 nt
Filed under: uncultured bacterium
Lineage: Bacteria
Description: partial 16S ribosomal RNA
Rfam family: Bacterial small subunit ribosomal RNA
Source: RNAcentral
GAUGAACGCUGGCGGCGUGCUUAACACAUGCAAGUCGAACGGAAAGGCCCUGCUUUUGUGGGGUGCUCGAGUGGCGAACGGGUGAGUAACACGUGAGUAACCUGCCCUUGACUUUGGGAUAACUUCAGGAAACUGGGGCUAAUACCGGAUAGGAGCUCCUGCUGCAUGGUGGGGGUUGGAAAGUUUCGGCGGUUGGGGAUGGACUCGCGGCUUAUCAGCUUGUUGGUGGGGUAGUGGCUUACCAAGGCUUUGACGGGUAGCCGGCCUGAGAGGGUGACCGGCCACAUUGGGACUGAGAUACGGCCCAGACUCCUACGGGAGGCAGCAGUGGGGAAUAUUGCACAAUGGGCGGAAGCCUGAUGCAGCAACGCCGCGUGCGGGAUGACGGCCUUCGGGUUGUAAACCGCUUUCGCCUGUGACGAAGCGUGAGUGACGGUAAUGGGUAAAGAAGCACCGGCUAACUACGUGC